RNAcentral lists this ribosomal RNA (496 nucleotides) under uncultured bacterium. RNAcentral describes it as "partial 16S ribosomal RNA". It matches the Rfam family "Bacterial small subunit ribosomal RNA", at positions 28 to 506 of the family's 1533-position model. The record is from RNAcentral.
GAUGAACGCUGGCGGCGUGCCUAAUACAUGCAAGUCGAGCGAACAGACGAGGAGCUUGCUCCUCUAACGUUAGCGGCGGACGGGUGAGUAACACGUGGAUAACCUACCUAUAAGACUGGGAUAACUUCGGGAAACCGGAGCUAAUACCGGAUAAUAUAUUGAACCGCAUGGUUCAAUAGUGAAAGACGGUUUUGCUGUCACUUAUAGAUGGAUCCGCGCCGCAUUAGCUAGUUGGUAAGGUAACGGCUUACCAAGGCAACGAUGCGUAGCCGACCUGAGAGGGUGAUCGGCCACACUGGAACUGAGACACGGUCCAGACUCCUACGGGAGGCAGCAGUAGGGAAUCUUCCGCAAUGGGCGAAAGCUUGACGGAGCAACGCCGCGUGAGUGAUGAAGGUCUUCGGAUCGUAAAACUCUGUUAUUAGGGAAGAACAAAUGUGUAAGUAACUAUGCACGUCUUGACGGUACCUAAUCAGAAAGCCACGGCUAACUACGU